This 267-nucleotide ribosomal RNA is filed under the name uncultured bacterium. RNAcentral describes it as "partial 16S ribosomal RNA". It matches the Rfam family "Bacterial small subunit ribosomal RNA", at positions 87 to 353 of the family's 1533-position model. The record is from RNAcentral.
GAUGGCGACCGGCGCACGGGUGAGUAACACGUAUCCAACCUGCCGAUAACUCGGGGAUAGCCUUUCGAAAGAAAGAUUAAUACCCGAUGGCAUAAUAGAACCGCAUGGUUUGAUUAUUAAAGAAUUUCGGUUAUCGAUGGGGAUGCGUUCCAUUAGGCAGUUGGUGGGGUAAUGGCCCACCAAACCUUCGAUGGAUAGGGGUUCUGAGAGGAAGGUCCCCCACAUUGGAACUGAGACACGGCCCAGACUCCUACGGGAGGCAGCAUG